GCGGCGGCGCGACGAAACUG
This 20-nucleotide unclassified non-coding RNA is filed under the name Mus musculus (house mouse). Its description in RNAcentral is "oocyte_clustered_small_RNA10700". The record is from RNAcentral. Lineage: Eukaryota; Metazoa; Chordata; Mammalia; Rodentia; Muridae.